GCGGAUAUAGUUUACCAGGCAAAACAGCGGUAUAUCAUCAAUACACACAACUUCUUAAAAAUGAUUGAUUGAUAACCGUCUCUAAAGGGUUCGAGUCCCUUUAUCCGCA
RNAcentral lists this transfer RNA (109 nucleotides) under Lactococcus garvieae. RNAcentral's name for it is "tRNA-OTHER". It matches the Rfam family "tRNA". From Rfam's summary of the family: Transfer RNA (tRNA) molecules are approximately 80 nucleotides in length. Their secondary structure includes four short double-helical elements and three loops (D, anti-codon, and T loops). Further hydrogen bonds mediate the characteristic L-shaped molecular structure. tRNAs have two regions of fundamental functional importance: the anti-codon, which is responsible for specific mRNA codon recognition, and the 3' end, to which the tRNAs corresponding amino acid is attached (by aminoacyl-tRNA synthetases). tRNAs cope with the degeneracy of the genetic code in two manners: having more than one tRNA (with a specific anti-codon) for a particular amino acid; and 'wobble' base-pairing, i.e. permitting non-standard base-pairing at the 3rd anti-codon position. The record is from RNAcentral. Lineage: Bacteria; Bacillati; Bacillota; Bacilli; Lactobacillales; Streptococcaceae.